UUAAUGUUAAGAUGAACCCUAAAAAGUUCUAAAAGCAUAAAGGUUUGGUCCUGACCUUAUUAUCAGUUGUCUCUUAACUUACACAUGCAAGUCUCAGCAACCCCGUGAGGAAGCCCUUAAACCCUACCCCAGGAUAAGGAGCUGGUAUCAGGCUCAAACUCUUGCCCACGACACYUAGUUUCCACCACGCCCCCAAGGGUCAUCAGCAGUGAUAAACAUUAACUAUAAGCGACAGCUUGACUUAGUUARAGAGAAGAUAGUUGGCUAAUUCGGUGCCAGCCGCCGCGGUUAGACCCYUGAACUAAGAAWUGAUAAUCGUCGGCGUUAAGCGUGAUUAAAGUUGUUAUARAAUUARAGUAAAACUCCUUGCCCAGCUGUGAAAAGCAWGCAUUCAGGAACUUCAUGAACGAAAGUCACUCUAUUAAACGCUKGAACACACGACAGCUAAGAGCACAAACUGG
This 461-nucleotide ribosomal RNA is filed under the name Minervarya asmati (Bangladeshi cricket frog). RNAcentral describes it as "partial small subunit ribosomal RNA". Lineage: Eukaryota; Metazoa; Chordata; Amphibia; Anura; Dicroglossidae. RNAcentral also lists the same sequence under 1 other name. The record is from RNAcentral.